CCAUUUUUUCUUUGAUUUAACACCAUCAAUGACAACAUCGGGAGCUGAAUUAAUUUCCUCCAUUGAUGGUGUUGGUGGCAUCAACGAUAAAUCAUUUUCUUGAUAAUGGAAGAAAGAAAAGUCAAGAAAUUUCUCCCACAAAUUUCAAUGAUAAAUCGUUUGAUUUAACACCAUCAGUGGCAGUAUUAACGAUAAAUUGCUUUCUUGAAAAAAAAAAGAAAAUAAUCAAGAAAUUUCUCCCACAAAUUUCAAACCUAAAGGAGAAAUUGAUGAUGAAAGAAGAAGUAGCAAAUAAGGGAAUACACAGAUCUUUAGGUGAGAAAGAAACAUGUCUUUCCCUCAUUUGUGAUGUAUAUGAUAUUUUAAGAGAAAAAUAAGGAAAAAUCACAUAAAUAUACAAUGUUAGAGUCUAUAUUACAAAAUAUACCACAAGAUUUUAUUUUACAAAAUAUACAAUAGUCUAUAUUACAAAAUAUACCACAAAUUCUAUUUUGACCUUCCUUCAGAUCCACAGGCAUUACAGGUAAAAGAUCGGCUCGAAUAAGUAGGAGUUGGAAGAAGGGUUAAAGGGUGAGAAAGAUGAGAAGGGUGCACCAGAGAACGAGGCGCGUUGAGACAAUUAUCAUGGAGGUAGAAAUUGAAAGAGAUGCAACCAUGAAAGGGCUAAAAAAUGGGCUUCUCACAGGCUUGACAUUGAAGUCCCUCACUUUCAUCAAGAACAGGUGAUUUCAAAAUAUGGUAGUGGCUGAAAUGUUGGUUAUAUUACACCAAUACUUUGUCUCCAUGUGUUUUCAAUGUGUGAUUUCUUUUGGUGUGAGAUGGACAUGGUUUAUGCGCUGCUGCUGUUCGCCUGUUUCCGGCGAAUAUCACUCGAAAAACCAAGAUUAGGGGCAGGUUUGGGGGGGUGUUUGAUGGGAAUUAACAGUGCAUCCAAUUCCGUGAAACUAUGUACUGAUACAUAAAGUUAUUCCCAUUAAAGCUGCAGUACUAGAUGCUACUAUAACUUUUCGAGAUCUUGAUAGCUUUCUUUAAGAAAUAAUCCGUUUUCCGUCAUUCUUCACUCUGCUCUCUCCGACCUCUUCCCCUCUUAGAUUUUUUCCAUUUUUUUGGCGAUGGCGCGUAUGUGGG
This 1128-nucleotide long non-coding RNA is filed under the name Capsicum annuum. Its description in RNAcentral is "long non-coding RNA (CANN_LNC011902)". The record is from RNAcentral. Lineage: Eukaryota; Viridiplantae; Streptophyta; Magnoliopsida; Solanales; Solanaceae.